AUUGAACGCUGGCGGCAUGCCUUACACAUGCAAGUCGAACGGUAACGGGCCUUCGGGUGCCGACGAGUGGCGAACGGGUGAGUAAUACAUCGGAACGUGCCCGAUCGUGGGGGAUAACGAGGCGAAAGCUUUGCUAAUACCGCAUACGAUCUACGGAUGAAAGCAGGGGACCGCAAGGCCUUGCGCGGACGGAGCGGCCGAUGGCAGAUUAGGUAGUUGGUGGGAUAAAAGCUUACCAAGCCGACGAUCUGUAGCUGUCUGAGAGGAUGAUCAGCCACACUGGGACUGAGACACGGCCCAGACUCCUACGGGAGGCAGCAGUGGGGAAUUUUGGACAAAGGGCGCAAGCCUGAUCCAGCCAUGCCGCGUGCAGGAUGAAGGCCUUCGGGUUGUAAACUGCUUUUGUACGGAACGAAAAGCCUUCUUUUAAUACAGGAGGGUCAUGACGGUACCGUAAGAAUAAGCACCGGCUAACUACGUG
Molecule: ribosomal RNA, 481 nt
Filed under: uncultured bacterium
Lineage: Bacteria
Description: partial 16S ribosomal RNA
Rfam family: Bacterial small subunit ribosomal RNA
Source: RNAcentral